This is a long non-coding RNA of Felis catus (domestic cat), 1762 nucleotides long. RefSeq lists it as uncharacterized. The transcript is spliced from 5 exons. NCBI's taxonomy places the organism in Eukaryota, Metazoa, Chordata, Mammalia, Carnivora, Felidae. The record is from RefSeq and is a predicted model, not a curated record.
AUUCUUAUAAUUUAAAUUCUUAUUAUUUAAAGAAUAAACCACUUUAAACCCAGGGGUUGAAGAGAAUGAGAGAAGUAACGGUUGAAUGAAAAUGGCAACCGAUUUAUGGCAGAAAGGAGGCAGAUGGAGAGGGGUGAGGCCUUAAAGGAGCAGCCGAACUGCCACCUACAUAGCAGGACGUUGGCUGCGCUCGCGGCUCUCAGAGCAUCUCCAACUCAAUGUGGAGGAAUCUGGUGCCACCGAGAAUGGGGUGACAGUGGGAUCGCACACACGCAGAGGCAGAUGCCUGGACUGUGCGUGCUGAUUCCUGCUGGGCCCCUGGCUGAUUCUGCUCCGCAAUGAAUGCGGCCCGCGUACCCACUCCCACUCGAGACCCUGAAGGACUGUGUGGAUGGAAAAGCUCAAACUCCGAGUCCAGAUCCUAACAGCUAAUGCUAUUGAGUACUUCCAUAUGCUGAUUACUGUGCAAGUUGCCUUCCACAUUAUUCCAUGGAGUCUUCACAAAAUCUCUAGAGGGGAACUAAAACAUGACUAUUGGAAUUACAGGAGUGGAGGAAAAUCGAGGAGAUUUUUGAAAGCCGAGGGCGAAUCUAGCAGACAUGUAGCAAAUUGACCUCUGUAACAAUCAAGGAGACAACAGAAGGAAAGUAAGCACUAAUUGGGCUCCAGUUCUGUCUCAAGCGCUCAGCUGGACUAGGUUGCCAUGGUUGGUAAAUAAAACACAGUCUUUGGGACCCUGAUUCCAAAUAAUGAAAAGUAUCUCAUAGCAGAUUAAAUACUCAAGGUCUGGAAAUUUUUAAAUAGCAUUAUUUAAAGCCAGAACAUAAACUGGAGUAACAAAUUCAAUGCUAGUCAGCUCAGCAUCAUUUGUGGGGAAAUACCAGGAACGGUUGUGAAGGGAACAACUUGAUAAACGUUAAGGUAAUUUGAUUAGAAACAUGCAAUAUAUGCUUCUGAUGGGAGAAGAUAUUCUAACAGCUCACUGGUUGGCUUCCUUUGAAGUCAUUUACUGCCAUGGUUUCUGAGUUUAGACCAACAUCCCUCCUGUUAACGAUAAUGGAUUAGGAGCACUAACCAUACGAUAGCUAAUAGCUUAAGAUUUUUUUUCAAGUGUGGAGGUAGAACAAAGAAUAAAAAUGAUGGAAAUAUAAUGUUGAAGGUGAAAGAGACAGUAAGGAGGGAUAUAUAGCUUAAAUCUGAGAACCCCCCAGGUAAAAUGUGUAUUUUUAAAUUUCCACAGAGUUUGCAUUUGGAAUAUAUACAGGUAUCUGCAUCUUUUCAAGAACACUGUAUGGAAAACAAAACUUAUUGCAAAAGUUUUUUUUCAUCGGUUGAUAAUAUGAAGCAAUAUUAGGCAAAUGGAUACAUUCUAGUAGGACUGCAGUUAUAUUUGCGAUGUCUAUCUGGGAAUUUAAAAAUGAUGAUGCUCAAGGAAAGAAUGCAAACUGAUCUAGCCAAGUGCUGAUCCCACAAUAGAAGCUUCAUAGGUAAUUCUUGGAUUAAUCAAGGAAUAUUCUCCAGGCCACACAGCUCAUCAAAAUAAUACAGACCGUCAGCUUCUUAUUUCUCUAUGAAGAAAAAAAGCACACAGUGAAUUCCCUCCAUGUAAAUGUUUGUGAGAUGCUAAGCAUCUUCCUGAAGAACUAUGGGACUUACCUCCUAUUGCCUAUUUCUUUUUUUUAAGUUUAUUAAUUUAUUUUGAGAGAGAGAGAGAGAGUGAGCAGGGGAGGGCAGAGAGAAAGGGAGAGAGAGAGAGAGAGAG